GCCCGGGUGGCGGAAUGGUAGACGCAGGGGGCUUAAACCCCCCGGACUGAAAGGGUCAUGCGGGUUCGAGUCCCGCCCCGGGUA
Molecule: transfer RNA, 84 nt
Filed under: mine drainage metagenome
Description: tRNA-Leu
Rfam family: tRNA
About the family: Transfer RNA (tRNA) molecules are approximately 80 nucleotides in length. Their secondary structure includes four short double-helical elements and three loops (D, anti-codon, and T loops).
Source: RNAcentral